This 326-nucleotide unclassified non-coding RNA is filed under the name uncultured Hypomyces. RNAcentral describes it as "sequence contains ITS1". The stretch from base 1 to 105 matches the Rfam family "5.8S ribosomal RNA", at positions 50 to 154 of the family's 154-position model. Lineage: Eukaryota; Fungi; Ascomycota; Sordariomycetes; Hypocreales; Hypocreaceae. The record is from RNAcentral.
GAAAUGCGAUAAGUAAUGUGAAUUGCAGAAUUCAGUGAAUCAUCGAAUCUUUGAACGCACAUUGCGCCCGCCAGUAUUCUGGCGGGCAUGCCUGUUCGAGCGUCAUUUCAACCCUCAAGCCCCCCCGGGGGCUCGGUGUUGGGGACCGGCCCCGCCUAGCCGCGGGUCGCCGCCCCCGAAAUACAGUGGCGGUCCCGCCGCAGCCUCCUCUGCGUAGUAGCUCUUUUGAAACCUCGCACCGGAGCGCGGCGCGGCCACGCCGUUAAACCCCCCCAACUUUCUGAAAGGUUGACCUCGGAUCAGGUAGGAAUACCCGCUGAACUUAA